GACGAACGCUGGCGGCGUGCUUAACACAUGCAAGUCGAACGGAAAGGCCCUGCUUUUGUGGGGUGCUCGAGUGGCGAACGGGUGAGUAACACGUGAGUAACCUGCCCUUGACUUUGGGAUAACUUCAGGAAACUGGGGCUAAUACCGGAUAGGAGCUCCUGCUGCAUGGUGGGGGUUGGAAAGUUUCGGCGGUUGGGGAUGGACUCGCGACUUAUCAGCUUGUUGGUGGGGUAGUGGCUUACCAAGGCUUUGACGGGUAGCCGGCCUGAGAGGGUGACCGGCCACAUUGGGACUGAGAUACGGCCCAGACUCCUACGGGAGGCAGCAGUGGGGAAUAUUGCACAAUGGGCGGAAGCCUGAUGCAGCAACGCCGCGUGCGGGAUGACGGCCUUCGGGUUGUAAACCGCUUUCGCCUGUGACGAAGCGUGAGUGACGGUAAUGGGUAAAGAAGCACCGGCUAACUACGUGCCAGCAGCCGCGGUGAUACGUAGGGUGCGAGCGUUGUCCGGAUUUAUUGGGCGUAAAGGGCUCGUAGGUGGUUGAUCGCGUCGGAAGUGUAAUCUUGGGGCUUAACCCUGAGCGUGCUUUCGAUACGGGUUGACUUGAGGAAGGUAGGGGAGAAUGGAAUUCCUGGUGGAGCGGUGGAAUGCGCAGAUAUCAGGAGGAACACCAGUGGCGAAGGCGGUUCUCUGGGCCUUUCCUGACGCUGAGGAGCGAAAGCGUGGGGAGCGAACAGGCUUAGAUACCCUGGUAGUCCACGCUGUAAACGGUGGGUACUAGGUGUGGGGUCCAUUCCACGGGUUCCGUGCCGUAGCUAACGCUUUAAGUACCCCGCCUGGGGAGUACGGCCGCAAGGCUAAAACUCAAAGGAAUUGACGGGGCCCCGCACAAGCGGCGGAGCAUGCGGAUUAAUUCGAUGCAACGCGUAGAACCUUACCUGGGUUUGACAUGGAUCGGGAGCGCUCAGAGAUGGGUGUGCCUCUUUUGGGGUCGGUUCACAGGUGGUGCAUGGCUGUCGUCAGCUCGUGUCGUGAGAUGUUGGGUUAAGUCCCGCAACGAGCGCAACCCUUGUUCACUGUUGCCAGCACGUUAUGGUGGGGACUCAGUGGAGACCGCCGGGGUCAACUCGGAGGAAGGUGGGGAUGACGUCAAGUCAUCAUGCUCCUUAUGUCCAGGGCUUCACGCAUGCUACAAUGGCUGGUACAGAGAGUGGCGAGCCUGUGAGGGUGAGCGAAUCUCGGAAAGCCGGUCUCAGUUCGGAUUGGGGUCUGCAACUCGACCUCAUGAAGUCGGAGUCGCUAGUAAUCGCAGAUCAGCAACGCUGCGGUGAAUACGUUCCCGGGGCU
RNAcentral lists this ribosomal RNA (1346 nucleotides) under uncultured bacterium. RNAcentral describes it as "bacterial SSU rRNA". It matches the Rfam family "Bacterial small subunit ribosomal RNA", at positions 28 to 1381 of the family's 1533-position model. The record is from RNAcentral.